AACGAACGCUGGCGGCAGGCCUAAUACAUGCAAGUCGAACGAACCUUCGGGUUAGUGGCGCACGGGUGCGUAACGCGUGGGAAUGUACACCUUGGUAAGGAACAACGUCGGGAAACUGACGCUAAUACCUUAUAAUAUCUCCGGAUCAAAGAUUUAUCGCCAAGGGAUCAGCCCGCGUCUGAUUAGCUAGUUGGUGGGGUAAUGGCCCACCAAGGCGAUGAGCAGUAGCUGGUCUGAGAGGAUGAUCAGCCACACUGGAACUGAGACACGGUCCAGACUCCUACGGGAGGCAGCAGUAAGGAAUAUUGGACAAUGGGGGCAACCCUGAUCCAGCCAUGCCGCGUGUGUGAAGAAGGCCUUAGGGUUGUAAAGCACUUUCAAACGUGAAGAUAAUGACGGUAGCGUUAGAAGAAGCUCCGGCUAAAUUCGUGCCAGCCGCCGCAGUAA
This 447-nucleotide ribosomal RNA is filed under the name uncultured bacterium. RNAcentral describes it as "partial 16S ribosomal RNA". It matches the Rfam family "Bacterial small subunit ribosomal RNA", at positions 29 to 523 of the family's 1533-position model. The record is from RNAcentral.